UCGAUUUCACAAAAUAGUCAAGAGUAAUUACACCCACUUCAUUAAAAUCUCGAUUCACCAGUACAACACUGACUUUAGCAACGAUUGCCUCAGUCUUCUCGAAAUCCUAUGAAGAAAAAAAUAACCCAAUUCUCUGUCUUUUUUUUCCCUUCCCGAAGCAUGAAGCUAGCUCUCCGACCCUUCUCAAAAACUUAUUCUCUUCCUUUAUUUCUUAACCUAUCCUCUUCUUUAACCC
RNAcentral lists this long non-coding RNA (235 nucleotides) under Physcomitrium patens. Its description in RNAcentral is "long non-coding RNA (PPAT_LNC013904)". Lineage: Eukaryota; Viridiplantae; Streptophyta; Bryopsida; Funariales; Funariaceae. The record is from RNAcentral.